Molecule: ribosomal RNA, 305 nt
Filed under: uncultured bacterium
Lineage: Bacteria
Description: bacterial SSU rRNA
Rfam family: Bacterial small subunit ribosomal RNA
Source: RNAcentral
UGCGCCCUAGGGAGGCAGCAGUGAGGAAUAUUGGUCAAUGGGCGGGAGCCUGAACCAGCCAAGUCGCGUGAGGGAAGACGGUUCUAUGGAUUGUAAACCUCUUUAGGCGGGGAGCAAUGCCGGGCACGCGUGCCCGGAGGGAGAGUACCCGCAGAAUAAGCAUCGGCUAACUCCGUGCCAGCAGCCGCGGUAAUACGGAGGAUGCGAGCGUUAUCCGGAUUUAUUGGGUUUAAAGGGUGCGUAGGCGGAUUUUUAAGUCAGCGGUAUAAUGUCCGGGCUCAACCCGGGCCGGCCGGUGAUACUGG